GCUCGUAGCUCAGCUGGAUAGAGUACCUGGCUACGAACCAGGCGGUCAGAGGUUCGAAUCCUCUCGAGC
This 69-nucleotide transfer RNA is filed under the name Vibrio cholerae. RNAcentral describes it as "tRNA-Arg". It matches the Rfam family "tRNA". Rfam says of the family: Transfer RNA (tRNA) molecules are approximately 80 nucleotides in length. Their secondary structure includes four short double-helical elements and three loops (D, anti-codon, and T loops). The record is from RNAcentral. RNAcentral also lists the same sequence under 1 other name. Lineage: Bacteria; Pseudomonadati; Pseudomonadota; Gammaproteobacteria; Vibrionales; Vibrionaceae.